GUUUGAGGGAUAGCAGUGUAGUCCGGCCUCAUGCCCCAUUUCCUCCUUCAUUAAUUUUUGCUAAGGGGGGAUUCUGACAUGAAGGGGAGAAGUCCUAGGGCUGCGCACAAUGCCUUGCCCAUAUUGUAAUACAGAGCUGCCAGAUGCUUCCUCCAAAGGAGUGAUGAAGGUCAAUGGCUGAGAUCAAGAGACUGGAUAUUAGUUAUGAAGCAGAGGAUGUGCUUGGAGCUACAGAACCAAUUAGAGAUAUGCGGCUAAAGAAUGACUUCUGUAAUCAAGUGGUUGAAGGCCUGGGAAAAUCUUGUCACUUGGAGAGGUAGUGAGUCACUCUUGAAAAAAAAAAACAAAUCAAUUAUUUUUAAAUAAAUGCAAGAUAAACUUGACA
Bos indicus x Bos taurus (hybrid cattle) is the source of this 385-nucleotide long non-coding RNA. The record is from Ensembl. Lineage: Eukaryota; Metazoa; Chordata; Mammalia; Artiodactyla; Bovidae.